Molecule: ribosomal RNA, 407 nt
Filed under: uncultured bacterium
Lineage: Bacteria
Description: bacterial SSU rRNA
Rfam family: Bacterial small subunit ribosomal RNA
Source: RNAcentral
UCGGGAAUAUUGGGCAAUGGGCGAAAGCCUGACCCAGCGACGCCGCGUGAGGGAAGAAGGCCUUCGGGUCGUAAACCUCUGUCAUCGGGGACGAAGGAAGUGACGGUACCCGAGGAGGAAGCCCCUGCUAACUACGUGCCAGCAGCCGCGGUAAUACGUAGGGGGCGAGCGUUGUCCGGAGUUACUGGGCGUAAAGGGCGUGUAGGCGGCCUGUUAAGUCAGGUGUGAAAUUCCGGGGCUUAACUCCGGAGCUGCGCUUGAAACUGGCAGGCUAGAGGGCAGGAGAGGGAAGUGGAAUUCCCGGUGUAGCGGUGGAAUGCGUAGAUAUCGGGAGGAACACCAGUGGCGAAGGCGGCUUCCUGGACUGUACCUGACGCUGAGGCGCGAAAGCUAGGGGAGCAAACAGG